UGGGGAAUUUUGGACAAUGGGGGAAACCCUGAUCCAGCCAUCCCGCGUGUGCGAUGAAGGCCUUCGGGUUGUAAAGCACUUUUGGCAGGAAAGAAACGUCGCGGGUUAAUACCCCGCGAAACUGACGGUACCUGCAGAAUAAGCACCGGCUAACUACGUGCCAGCAGCCGCGGUAAUACGUAGGGUGCAAGCGUUAAUCGGAAUUACUGGGCGUAAAGCGUGCGCAGGCGGUUCGGAAAGAAAGAUGUGAAAUCCCAGAGCUUAACUUUGGAACUGCAUUUUUAACUACCGGGCUAGAGUGUGUCAGAGGGAGGUGGAAUUCCGCGUGUAGCAGUGAAAUGCGUAGAUAUGCGGAGGAACACCGAUGGCGAAGGCAGCCUCCUGGGAUAACACUGACGCUCAUGCACGAAAGCGUGGGGAGCAAACAGGAUUAGAUACCCUGGUAGUCCACGCCCUAAACGAUGUCAACUAGCUGUUGGGGCUUCGGGCCUUGGUAGCGCAGCUAACGCGUGAAGUUGACCGCCUGGGGAGUACGGUCGC
Molecule: ribosomal RNA, 540 nt
Filed under: uncultured bacterium
Lineage: Bacteria
Description: partial 16S ribosomal RNA
Rfam family: Bacterial small subunit ribosomal RNA
Source: RNAcentral